GUGGCAGAAGGGCCUCCCUGGACAGCGGGCGAGGGUUUGGGCAGAAUGAGACACGGCGGCACCCGGAGCCGUGUCCCUGGCGAGCGUCCCACCGGUCAGCUACUCUGGUCUCACAAAGAACCCAGUGGCCUUAAGGUCGGCCGCCCUCCUCCGCCUUGGGGACCGGUCACUGGUCACUGCAUCCUGCUCUCCGCUGGGCAAGACCGGCUGGACGCGACCCGGCCUGACCCUCUCCACGCCCCUCCCGCGGGUCCCCACCACCCCGCCCUGGGAGGCGGUUAAUGAAUGAACACGAGUCACCUCUGCGGUCUCCCUGCUCUUCAGCGGGAGACGUGAAUGCCAUGGUGCCCAGACGAAUGAACGCAUGAUACAGGGACACACGCCACCGCCUCAGAAAUCUCGACAGAAAGAAAAGAAAGGCCCCUCCCCUGCUGAGCCCCCUCCCAGCCUUGCCGCCUGCCCCUACCUCUGUGAAGCCCCCAGCGCCCCCUGCCUGGGACGACCCGUCUUGGGCCCUCAGUGACCGUCCCUUCCCCCUGGUGGGUGGGGCGCGUGUUGAAUGAAGGCGUGUGAAUGAACAGAAAGCCACCGAGUGCCGUGACAGAACAGGUUUGUGAGAAGGGACAUCUCUGGGAGCCUGGACGCCACAAGAACCUGGGCCCUCAGCUGAGAGUGUUAACAAUAGAAGUCAUUAAAAAAGUUUCUUUAACGGACGGAUGGAAAUUCCCUUUAUCAGAAGGAGCCGCUGUGAAUCAAGUCGCAGGAGGGCUGUGUCCGGCCAGGGCUGCUUCAGAGCAGAGCGUAAACAUACAAUGUUACAUCGAGUCCAGGCGCACAGGAAGGUGGUUGGACAUUUAUGUCCCUCACGAAGUGACCCCUCCAGGAAGCCUUGUGCCGUCUGACAGCACACGAGUGAAUACAAUGUUAUCAGUGCGUCCUCCACGCCCCGUGACUCAUUCUCAACCCCUUCCUUCCCCUCUGCACCGGCCGCCACCCCCUCCGGUCUGACCGCGCCGGCUUCUCUGUAUAUAGGACACACGGAUGGCCGACAGCCACAUGAGAAGAUGCUCACAGCACCAGUCACGGGGGACAUGCAAAGCGAAACCACAGCGAGAUGCCGCCUCACACCUGUCGGAAGGGCUGUCAUCAAAGAGUCAGCAAACGACAGGCACUGAGGAGGACGAGGAGCAAGGGGCGCUCGGGCACUGCUGUGGGGCGGGGGGCUCCUCAAAAAAAUUAAAGCCAGAGCUACCGUCUGACCCAG
Long non-coding RNA from Pteropus alecto (black flying fox), 1264 nucleotides. RefSeq lists it as uncharacterized. The transcript has 3 exons. The record is from RefSeq and is a predicted model, not a curated record. Lineage: Eukaryota; Metazoa; Chordata; Mammalia; Chiroptera; Pteropodidae.